UUAAGCGACUAAGCGUACACGGUGGAUGCCCUGGCAGUCAGAGGCGAUGAAGGACGUGCUAAUCUGCGAAAAGCGUCGGUAAGGUGAUAUGAACCGUUAUAACCGGCGAUGUCCGAAUGGGGAAACCCAGUGCAAUUCGUUGCACUAUCGUUAACUGAAUACAUAGGUUAACGAGGCGAACCGGGGGAACUGAAACAUCUAAGUACCCCGAGGAAAAGAAAUCAACCGAGAUUCCCCCAGUAGCGGCGAGCGAACGGGGAGCAGCCCGGAGUCUGAAUCAGCUUGUGUGUUAGUGGAAGCGUCUGGAAAGUCGCAGGGUACAGGGUGAUACUCCCGUACACUAAAACACACAGGCUGUGAACUCGAAGAGUAGGGCGGGACACGUGGUAUCCUGUCUGAAUAUGGGGGGACCAUCCUCCAAGGCUAAAUACUCCUGACUGACCGAUAGUGAACCAGUACCGUGAGGGAAAGGCGAAAAGAACCCCGGCGAGGGGAGUGAAAAAGAACCUGAAACCGUGUACGUACAAGCAGUAGGAGCCCACUAGUUGGGUGACUGCGUACCUUUUGUAUAAUGGGUCAGCGACUUAUAUUCUGUAGCAAGGUUAACCGAAUAGGGGAGCCGCAGGGAAACCGAGUCUUAACUGGGCGUUAAGUUGCAGGGUAUAGACCCGAAACCCGGUGAUCUAGCCAUGGGCAGGUUGAAGGUUGGGUAACACUAACUGGAGGACCGAACCGACUAAUGUUGAAAAAUUAGCGGAUGACUUGUGGCUGGGGGUGAAAGGCCAAUCAAACCGGGAGAUAGCUGGUUCUCCCCGAAAGCUAUUUAGGUAGCGCCUCGUGAACUCAUCUUCGGGGGUAGAGCACUGUUUCGGCUAGGGGGUCAUCCCGACUUACCAACCCGAUGCAAACUACGAAUACCGAAGAAUGUUAUCACGGGAGACACACGGCGGGUGCUAACGUCCGUCGUGAAGAGGGAAACAACCCAGACCGCCAGCUAAGGUCCCAAAGUCAUGGUUAAGUGGGAAACGAUGUGGGAAGGCCCAGACAGCCAGGAUGUUGGCUUAGAAGCAGCCAUCAUUUAAAGAAAGCGUAAUAGCUCACUGGUCGAGUCGGCCUGCGCGGAAGAUGUAACGGGGCUAAACCAUGCACCGAAGCUGCGGCAGCGACGCUUAUGCGUUGUUGGGUAGGGGAGCGUUCUGUAAGCCGUUGAAGGUGGCCUGUGAGGGUUGCUGGAGGUAUCAGAAGUGCGAAUGCUGACAUAAGUAACGAUAAUGCGGGUGAAAACCCCGCACGCCGGAAGACCAAGGGUUCCUGUCCAACGUUAAUCGGGGCAGGGUGAGUCGACCCCUAAGGCGAGGCCGAAAGGCGUAGUCGAUGGGAAACAGGUUAAUAUUCCUGUACUUGGUGUUACUGCGAAGGGGGGACGGAGAAGGCUAUGUUGGCCGGGCGACGGUUGUCCCGGUUUAAGCAUGUAGGCGGAUGUUCCAGGUAAAUCCGGAACGUUAUUAACGCUGAGGUGUGAUGACGAGGCACUACGGUGCUGAAGUGACAAAUGCCCUGCUUCCAGGAAAAGCCUCUAAGCAUCAGGUAACAUCAAAUCGUACCCCAAACCGACACAGGUGGUCAGGUAGAGAAUACCAAGGCGCUUGAGAGAACUCGGGUGAAGGAACUAGGCAAAAUGGUGCCGUAACUUCGGGAGAAGGCACGCUGAUGGUAAGUGAAGUGACUUGCUCAUGGAGCUGAAAUCAGUCGAAGAUACCAGCUGGCUGCAACUGUUUAUUAAAAACACAGCACUGUGCAAACACGAAAGUGGACGUAUACGGUGUGACGCCUGCCCGGUGCCGGAAGGUUAAUUGAUGGGGUUAUCCUCGCGGAGAAGCUCUUGAUCGAAGCCCCGGUAAACGGCGGCCGUAACUAUAACGGUCCUAAGGUAGCGAAAUUCCUUGUCGGGUAAGUUCCGACCUGCACGAAUGGCGUAAUGAUGGCCAGGCUGUCUCCACCCGAGACUCAGUGAAAUUGAACUCGCUGUGAAGAUGCAGUGUACCCGCGGCAAGACGGAAAGACCCCGUGAACCUUUACUAUAGCUUGACACUGAACACUGGUCCUUGAUGUGUAGGAUAGGUGGGAGGCUUUGAAGUGUGGACGCCAGUCUGCAUGGAGCCGUCCUUGAAAUACCACCCUUUAAUGGCUGGUGUUCUAACGUGGGCCCGUGAUCCGGGUUGCGGACAGUGUCUGGUGGGUAGUUUGACUGGGGCGGUCUCCUCCUAAAGAGUAACGGAGGAGCACGAAGGUCAGCUAAUCCUGGUCGGACAUCAGGAGGUUAGUGCAAUGGCAUAAGCUGGCUUGACUGCGAGCGUGACGGCGCGAGCAGGUGCGAAAGCAGGUCAUAGUGAUCCGGUGGUUCUGAAUGGAAGGGCCAUCGCUCAACGGAUAAAAGGUACUCCGGGGAUAACAGGCUGAUACCGCCCAAGAGUUCAUAUCGACGGCGGUGUUUGGCACCUCGAUGUCGGCUCAUCACAUCCUGGGGCUGAAGUAGGUCCCAAGGGUAUGGCUGUUCGCCAUUUAAAGUGGUACGCGAGCUGGGUUUAGAACGUCGUGAGACAGUUCGGUCCCUAUCUGCCGUGGGCGCUGGAGAAUUGAGGGGGGCUGCUCCUAGUACGAGAGGACCGGAGUGGACGCAUCACUGGUGUUCGGGUUGUCAUGCCAAUGGCAUUGCCCGGUAGCUAAAUGCGGAAGAGAUAAGUGCUGAAAGCAUCUAAGCACGAAACUUGCCCCGAGAUGAGUUCUCCCUGACCCUUUAAGGGUCCUGAAGGAACGUUGAAGACGACGACGUUGAUAGGCCGGGUGUGUAAGCGCAGCGAUGCGUUGAGCUAACCGGUACUAAUGAACCGUGAGGCUUAACCUU
RNAcentral lists this ribosomal RNA (2905 nucleotides) under Klebsiella oxytoca MGH 42. RNAcentral's name for it is "bacterial LSU rRNA". It matches the Rfam family "Bacterial large subunit ribosomal RNA". Lineage: Bacteria; Pseudomonadati; Pseudomonadota; Gammaproteobacteria; Enterobacterales; Enterobacteriaceae. The record is from RNAcentral.